RNAcentral lists this transfer RNA (64 nucleotides) under Pheidole tristis. RNAcentral's name for it is "tRNA-Tyr". Lineage: Eukaryota; Metazoa; Arthropoda; Insecta; Hymenoptera; Formicidae. The record is from RNAcentral.
AGUAUUAUGUCUGAUUAAAGUAAUAAAUUGUAAAUUUAUUUAAGGAAUAAAAUUUCUGAUACUA